UAUUAUAUUUAUAAAAAAAUAACAAUAUUCACACCUUUAGUUCUUACAUAAUUUUAAUUUUUUACCGUUAAAUCGAAUGAUAUGAAUUAAGAGAUAAAAUCCCAAUAAAAUAAAUAGAAAAUUGACAUACACCCUCGCCUAGCUAAGACGACAUUGCUUUCUGGUACAUUCAAGCCCGAUCCGCCAAACCGGAAACUGUGCCUCUCCGCCAGAAUGCACGCUACGAAACUUCCAAAAUUAGUGCAAUUUUAACUUUCUGAAAAGACCGCACGCAAGGUGUUUGAUGAAAUUCCUCAACGACCUUCUUUUGAACAUAAAAGUGGUUUGGGUAUGGCUCUUGCGAAUGCUGCUGCUCUCAAGUUCUCGACUUCUGCGUUUUUGGAUCUUCGUUCGGCAACUUCCAUCUUUCAAAUUCAACCCAUGCAGCAGACUGGAAGAACAAGUGGAUGAUCCCAACUUACACUACUUGUGCUGCUGUGCAUGCAACUCUGUGUUAUUGGUUUACUGUUAAAGCUUGGGUUUCGUGUAGGUUUCUCGGUGAAGCCGUUCGUUAUGAGAGCGAGGGGGAAUGCCAGGACGGAUAGUGCGAAAACACGAAACAGAAGAAUGCAGAAGAAGUAUAACGGCACGUCCAAAGACCGAGGAAGCUGCUAAACGUCUCAGUGAGGAGUUCGUCAAGGCCUGCAAUGAACUUAACAUACAUGAAAUAUCAUCUUAUGAUCGCAACGGUUUUGCUACUGGGGAAAGGAUUCAGGCAUUCGAGAUUGCAAUUUCUCAGCAUGGUUUCUUGUCCAGAUAGAUUUGUAUGCGCGUGAAUUCUAUACAUCAACUCCACCUCUAUUACUAUAUCCUAUGGCGUUGCUACAUAGUAUGAACUAAAAUAUACAGCAAUCGUAGGCUCGUUACUGAAACAACUCUCUCCUCUUUUAGUUAGCGCCUUGGUAGGGUCUCGGCUUUGGUCAAUCUCGGUCAUCUACUC
Molecule: non-coding RNA, 979 nt
Organism: Malus domestica (apple)
Lineage: Eukaryota; Viridiplantae; Streptophyta; Magnoliopsida; Rosales; Rosaceae
Source: RefSeq, a predicted model, not a curated record